CCUACGGGAGGCAGCAGUAGGGGAUCUUCCACAAUGGACGCAAGUCUGAUGGAGCAACGCCGCGUGAGUGAAGAAGGUUUUCGGAUCGUAAAGCUCUGUUGUUGGUGAAGAAGGACAGGGGUAGUAACUGAUUCUUGUUUGACGGUAAUCAACCAGAAAGUCACGGCUAACUACGUGCCAGCAGCCGCGGUAAU
This 194-nucleotide ribosomal RNA is filed under the name uncultured Lactobacillus sp. Its description in RNAcentral is "partial 16S ribosomal RNA". It matches the Rfam family "Bacterial small subunit ribosomal RNA", at positions 338 to 524 of the family's 1533-position model. The record is from RNAcentral. Lineage: Bacteria; Bacillati; Bacillota; Bacilli; Lactobacillales; Lactobacillaceae.